GGAGGGGGCUAGCGUUGUUCGGAAUUACUGGGCGUAAAGGGCGCGUAGGCGGUAUGCCAUGUCAGGGGUGAAAGGCCUGGGCUCAACCCAGGAACUGCCUUUGAAACUGGCAAACUAGAGUCCGAUAGAGGAUGGCGGAAUUCCCAGUGUAGAGGUGAAAUUCGUAGAUAUUGGGAAGGACACCAGUGGCGAAGGCGGCCAUCUGGAUCGGCACUGACGCUGAGGCGCGAAAGCGUGGGGAGCAAACAGGGAUUAGAUACCCUGGUAGUCCACGCCGUAAACGAUGUGUGCUAGACGUUGGGGGCCCUUAGGCCCUGGGUGUCGCAGCUAACGCGUUAAGCACACCGCCUGGGGGAGUACGGCCGCAAGGUUA
This 373-nucleotide ribosomal RNA is filed under the name uncultured organism. RNAcentral describes it as "partial 16S ribosomal RNA". It matches the Rfam family "Bacterial small subunit ribosomal RNA", at positions 527 to 896 of the family's 1533-position model. The record is from RNAcentral.